RNAcentral lists this non-coding RNA (214 nucleotides) under Loigolactobacillus backii. RNAcentral's name for it is "Lactobacillus backii T-box sequence". It matches the Rfam family "T-box leader". Rfam says of the family: Uncharged tRNA acts as the effector for transcription antitermination of genes in the T-box leader family. T-boxes are found upstream of many aminoacyl-tRNA synthetase genes and some amino acid biosynthetic genes usually in Gram-positive bacteria. The anticodon of a specific tRNA base pairs to a specifier sequence within the T-box motif, and the NCCA acceptor tail of the tRNA base pairs to a conserved bulge in the T-box antiterminator hairpin. Lineage: Bacteria; Bacillati; Bacillota; Bacilli; Lactobacillales; Lactobacillaceae. The record is from RNAcentral.
AACAAUGCAAUGAGAAGGAUAAGUACCCGUUAAUUUGGCUAUAGCGAAUCACUGGUUGGUGAAAAGUGAUCAAGAAUUAGUGGUGAAUGGCCCUUUGAGUCGCUGCGUGAAUUAAAAGUAGCGUGGCGGGUAGCCGUGCCUUAAACGUGAGUGGUGCUGGAUAAAAGCCAGCACAAUUUAGGUGGUACCACGAUUGUUAACAAGCGUCCUAUGA